This is a long non-coding RNA of Carassius gibelio (silver crucian carp), 297 nucleotides long. RefSeq lists it as uncharacterized. Lineage: Eukaryota; Metazoa; Chordata; Actinopteri; Cypriniformes; Cyprinidae. The transcript is spliced from 3 exons. The record is from RefSeq and is a predicted model, not a curated record.
GACUCUCCCUUCUCGUCCAGUUUGAUCGUAGAUGCAGCGUAGCACGAACAAGCAGGAGCCAAAGCUGUCAGGAUCUCAGCCAAGAGAACAUAAGCUGCUACCAUAGCAGAACCAACCGUAAUAUCCAUGGGGGAUCCUUCAUAUUUAUGGCCCUUUAAGGUUAAGAAUUUGGUCUUUUAAGGACUGUGGCAUGUCAAUGCAAGUUUGACACCUGCUGAGGGUAGCAAACCAGAACGUGAUGGCAUAAAAUCCAAAUGCAUCCAGACAAAGAUGUUUCUGUCAGAGAACAUGAGGUAG